UGGUUAUGGCUCAGUGGUAGAGCAUUUGCCUAGCACAUGUGAGACACUGGGUUCGGUUUUCAGCACCACAUAUAAAUAAAUGAAUAAAAUAAAGGUCUAUUAACUAGUUUUAAAAUAGUUAAAUAAUAAUAAUAACAAUGAUAAUAAUAAUAAAACAUUUAAAAUUUUUAAUUAAAAAAGGACUGGUAAAAUGCCCCUACGUUCAAUCCCCAGUACAA
This 218-nucleotide transfer RNA is filed under the name Marmota monax (woodchuck). RNAcentral describes it as "tRNA.Ala". Lineage: Eukaryota; Metazoa; Chordata; Mammalia; Rodentia; Sciuridae. The record is from RNAcentral.